ACCCCAGCUUGGCUGGCGACGACAACGGGUCAGGAAUCGACAAGCGCAAGUGAUGAAAGAUUGAAACUGAAGUUACUACUGUUCAAGGAAGAAUGCCUGAUAGAUAUAGAGAGAUAUCAUAGCCUGCUGAGAAUAAGCAGAAAGGGCCUCCUGCUGAAAUCAAAGCAAGAAGCUCUGCAGCGGACAAGAUGCGAUGAUUGGUUGGUUCAUCACGAGAUUCAGAGAUCAUUGAUUAGAAGUUAGCAUUCUCCAAUUGUGGUUGUAAC
This 266-nucleotide long non-coding RNA is filed under the name Brachypodium distachyon (stiff brome). RNAcentral describes it as "long non-coding RNA (BDIS_LNC005372)". The record is from RNAcentral. Lineage: Eukaryota; Viridiplantae; Streptophyta; Magnoliopsida; Poales; Poaceae.